GACGUAGGGGGCCAGCGUUGCUCGGAAUUACUGGGCGUACAGGGAGCGUAGGCGGUUGGAUAAGCCCUCCGUGAAAUCUCCAGGCUUAACCUGGAAAGUGCAGAGGGGACUGUUCAGCUAGAGGAUGGGAGAGGAGCGCGGAAUUCCCGGUGUAGCGGUGAAAUGCGUAGAGAUCGGGAGGAAGGCCGGUGGCGAAGGCGGCGCUCUGGAACAUUUCUGACGCUGAGGCUCGAAAGCGUGGGGAGCAAACAGG
This 253-nucleotide ribosomal RNA is filed under the name uncultured bacterium. Its description in RNAcentral is "partial 16S ribosomal RNA". It matches the Rfam family "Bacterial small subunit ribosomal RNA", at positions 524 to 776 of the family's 1533-position model. The record is from RNAcentral.